AUGUGGAAAACCAACUGGCCAUGGCAGAUCAGAGCUUAUGAUGAUACUCAGUUCCUGGUCAGAUUUCCUCCCAAUAAAAAGAUUGCUGACUUAGUUGCUUUUAAAUCCAUCAAUCUGAAGAAAUCUGGUGUUAAUAUUUCCUUCAAAGACUGGCAUGGUGAACUACCUCCCUAUGACUCUCUUAAAGAAGUCUGGAUUAAUGUCAUUGGUAUUCCUCCUGUCUGGUGCUCUUGGCCAGUUAUUGCUCAAAUUGCUUCUUCUCUAGGUGUCAUUGUCAAUGUUGAUUGGCAUGAAAUCUUCAGGAGUUUUUAUGAGAUUGUUAUAAUUCAGGUUGCAGUUAGAGAUCCUCAGCUGAUUCCUAGAGACAGACUGGUCGAAAUCCAACAAGAGCUAUAUCUACUCAACUUUGAGGUUGACGAUGAUGUAGCCACUGAUUCUCCCUCUCACAAUCACCCUGGGGGCCCCCUGGUCCUCCUAGUGGGAAUAGUGGGGAUAAAAAUGCUGACAGGAACAGUGAGGUGGACAAGGAUAGUGAUGAUGAUCUUCUUGGAGAACAAAUGGAGCAGGACAAUGGUAACCAGCUUGCCAGGAAACCUACCCCUACCUCCAAUGGAUCUAAGACCAGAGUUGGUUGUCUCCAUCCUCAUACUCCUGUUGUGA
Molecule: ribosomal RNA, 660 nt
Filed under: Triticum aestivum (bread wheat)
Lineage: Eukaryota; Viridiplantae; Streptophyta; Magnoliopsida; Poales; Poaceae
Description: partial small subunit ribosomal RNA
Source: RNAcentral